This 309-nucleotide ribosomal RNA is filed under the name Ophiothrix fragilis. RNAcentral's name for it is "partial 16S ribosomal RNA". It matches the Rfam family "Bacterial large subunit ribosomal RNA", at positions 1994 to 2534 of the family's 2925-position model. The record is from RNAcentral. Lineage: Eukaryota; Metazoa; Echinodermata; Ophiuroidea; Amphilepidida; Ophiotrichidae.
CAACGGCUUGACGAUAAGAAAGCUGUCUCUCUUUACUAAACCCUGAAGUUAGCUGGAUAGUGAAGAGACUCUCUUAGCAAAGCGGGACGAGAAGACCCCGUUGAGCUUUAGUAAAAAUUGUUUAUUAAAAACUUGAUUACUUGAGUUGGGGCAACUAUCUUUCUUUUUUAAAACAAAGAUAAAAAUGUUUUGAGUUGAUUCUUUUAUGACCCUUAAUCUUAGGAAUAGUAGAAAAAGUUACCACGGGGAUAACAGCGUAAUUUUUUUUGAGAGUUCUUAUUGACAAAAAAGUUUGCGACCUCGAUGUUG